RNAcentral lists this non-coding RNA (24 nucleotides) under Arabidopsis thaliana (thale cress). Lineage: Eukaryota; Viridiplantae; Streptophyta; Magnoliopsida; Brassicales; Brassicaceae. The record is from RNAcentral.
ACUGACCCAGCUGGGUGGUCCGGU